Molecule: ribosomal RNA, 1140 nt
Filed under: Triticum aestivum (bread wheat)
Lineage: Eukaryota; Viridiplantae; Streptophyta; Magnoliopsida; Poales; Poaceae
Description: partial small subunit ribosomal RNA
Source: RNAcentral
AUGGUCACUUGGUAUGAUUUGCGACUACAGUUGCAAAAUCAUCAAACUAUUAAUUGUGUAGCGCUGCGACAACUUGAGAAAAAAAAGGACCAUUGGAGAAAGGUUCUAUUUAGAAUUCUUUUGAUGGUAAAAUUUCUUGCGAAACACAAUCUUGCAUUUCGUGGUACUAACUCGACAUUGUAUCAAGAUAAUAAUGGAAAUUUCUUAGGCUUGGUUGAAAUGCUAGCUGAGUUCGACCCAAUUAUUCAGGAGCAUGUUAGGCGCAUAACAAACAAUGAAACUCAUGUUCAAUACCUUGGUCAUGGGAUACAAAAUGAGUUAAUACAUUUGCUUGCUUCUUCAAUUAAGUCAGAGAUAAUUAAAAAAAUAAAAGAAGCAAAGUAUUUUUCCGUGAUACUUGAUUGUACCCCUGAUGCGAGCCACCAAGAACAAAUGUCUCUGAUAAUACGAUAUGUCAAUGCAUCUUCGACUUUUGUUUCCAUUGAGGAAUCAUUUUUAGGAUUUUUGGAUGUCAAUGAUACAACUGGGCAAGGGCUUUUUGAUGUUUUGCAGGAAGAACUACGGAAUCUUGACCUGGAUCUAGAUGAUGUGAGAGGACAGAGCUACGAUAAUGGUGCAAAUAUGAAAGGUAAGAAUAAUGGUGUUCAAAGGAAACUUUUGGAUAAAAAUCCUAGAGCUUUUUAUUCAGCAUGUGGUUGUCAUAGUAUUAAUUUGACACUUUGUGACAUGGCAAAAACUUGUGGUAAAGCAAAGGACUUUUUUGGAAUCAUACAACGCAUCUACACAACAUUUGCUAAUUCAACUAAAAAGUGGCAGAUCUUGAAAGAUAAUAUAGAUGAUACAACAGGAUUGACUCUCAAGUCGUUGUCAUCUACUCGUUGGGAGAGUCGAAUAGAUAGUGUUAAAGCUAUAAGAUUUCAGAUUUCGAACAUACGAGAAGCUUUACUGCAAGUAUCUGAUAUUGAUAAUGAUCCAAAAACUAGCAGUGAAGCUAAAUCUCUCGCGAAUAAUGAACUUGGUGAUUUUGAAUUUUUAGUAGCUAUUGUUAUUUGGUAUGAAAUACUGUAUGCCGUCAAUCUGGUCAGCAAGAACUUACAAUCAAAGGAUAUGCUUAUUGAUGUUGCUAUUGAGCAAGUGUAG